Long non-coding RNA from Merops nubicus (carmine bee-eater), 684 nucleotides. RefSeq lists it as uncharacterized. NCBI's taxonomy places the organism in Eukaryota, Metazoa, Chordata, Aves, Coraciiformes, Meropidae. The transcript has 3 exons. The record is from RefSeq and is a predicted model, not a curated record.
AAUUCUUACUAUCCUUCAAAACCAAGUGAUACUUACCCUCACAGACAUAUUAGAGGACACUUUGAAAAUGCAGAACCCAUCAGAAGACAUUUUAAGAGCAAUUUUGCAGAUGGCCGUUUGCAAUCCCAUUAUAAAUCAGGCUUAGUACAGAAGGGUUUAUAUAUUCAGGCUAAGUACCAGCGGUUACGUUCUGUUGGUGUAAGGGGAUUUACCGCUAAUAAAUUUAGAGAUGGAUUUUUGAGGAAAGAAAAGGGAAAUUUAAAUAUUCCAACAGAAACCUGAACUAAGCUGUGAACCUGAAGUUGAAACAGAAAAUACAGCAAAGAGAGCAUCUGUUCAUUUUUUUGACAACUUUGUGAAGACUAAAAAUAGGAUAAAGGAUCUAACUCUGUAACUUUCUUGAUUAAAAACAACUUUAUUUUUCAGUAGGGGAAUGCUGCAGAACUUUUUUACAGUUUUAAUAAUUGCUUUUAAAGUACAGUAUUCAACUGAAACAUUGUAGUAUGUACCUUUAAUUCCUUUUGCAUACCAGUCUCAAGUAAAGAAGUCAUUGAAGGGAGUCUUAUUUAUUGAAUUCUUUUUCUUCUAAGCGUGAUGUUACAGAUGGAACUUGAGUUGUUAUACUCAGAGGUUUAUAUGCUGAAAGUUUAUUGCUUAUGUAAUUAAAAAAAAGAAAAAAAAAAA